UACGUAGGGCGCAAGCGUUGUCCGGAAUUAUUGGGCGUAAAGAGCUCGUAGGCGGUUUGUCGCGUCUGCUGUGAAAACCUAAGGCUCAACCUCGCGCCUGCAGUGGGUACGGGCAGACUAGAGUGCGGUAGGGGAGAUUGGAAUUCCUGGUGUAGCGGUGGAAUGCGCAGAUAUCAGGAGGAACACCGAUGGCGAAGGCGGCUCACUGGCCCGUUACCGACGCUCAGGCGCGACAGCGUGGGGAGCAAACAGG
This 253-nucleotide ribosomal RNA is filed under the name uncultured bacterium. RNAcentral describes it as "partial 16S ribosomal RNA". It matches the Rfam family "Bacterial small subunit ribosomal RNA", at positions 524 to 776 of the family's 1533-position model. The record is from RNAcentral.